This 497-nucleotide ribosomal RNA is filed under the name uncultured bacterium. RNAcentral describes it as "partial 16S ribosomal RNA". It matches the Rfam family "Bacterial small subunit ribosomal RNA", at positions 28 to 507 of the family's 1533-position model. The record is from RNAcentral.
GAUGAACGCUGGCGGCGUGCCUAAUACAUGCAAGUCGAGCGAACGGACGAGAAGCUUGCUUCUCUGAUGUUAGCGGCGGACGGGUGAGUAACACGUGGAUCACCUACCUAUCAGACUGGGAUAACUUCGGGAAACCGGAGCUAAUACCGGAUAAUAUUUUGAACCGCAUGGUUCAAAAGUGAAAGACGGUCUUGCUGUCACUUCUAGCUGGAUCCGCGCUGCAUUAGCUAGUUGGUAAGGUAACGGCUUACCAAGGCAACGAUGCAUAGCCGACCUGAGAGGGUGAUCGGCCACACUGGAACUGAGACACGGUCCAGACUCCUAAGGGAGGCAGCAGUAGGGAAUCUUCCGCAAUGGGCGAAAGCCUGACGGAGCAACGCCGCGUGAGUGAUGAAGGUCUUCGGAUCGUAAAACUCUGUUAUUAGGGAAGAACAUAUGUGUAAGUAACUGUGCACAUCUUGACGGUACCUAAUCAGAAAGCCACGGCUAACUACGUG